This 484-nucleotide ribosomal RNA is filed under the name uncultured bacterium. Its description in RNAcentral is "bacterial SSU rRNA". It matches the Rfam family "Bacterial small subunit ribosomal RNA", at positions 23 to 507 of the family's 1533-position model. The record is from RNAcentral.
CUCAGGAUGAACGCUAGCGGCAGGCCUAACACAUGCAAGUCGAGGGGCAGCACGUCUUCGGAUGGUGGCGACCGGCGCACGGGUGCGUAACGCGUAUGCAACCUACCUUACACUGGGGUAUAGCCCGGAGAAAUUCGGAUUAAUCCCCCAUGGUACUUUUGAAUGGCAUCAUUUGGAAGUUAAAGUAUUACGGUGUAAGAUGGGCAUGCGUCCUAUUAGCUAGAUGGUAAGGUAACGGCUUACCAUGGCUACGAUAGGUAGGGGGCCUGAGAGGGUGGUCCCCCACACUGGUACUGAGACACGGACCAGACUCCUACGGGAGGCAGCAGUGAGGAAUAUUGGUCAAUGGGCGCAAGCCUGAACCAGCCAUGCCGCGUGCAGGAAGAAUGCCCUAUGGGUUGUAAACUGCUUUUAUUUAGGAAUAAACCUUACUACGUGUAGUAAGCUGAAGGUACUGAAUGAAUAAGCACCGGCUAACUCCGUG